UGGGGGAUAUUGCACAAUGGGCGAAAGCCUGAUGCAGCGACGCCGCGUGGGGGAUGAAGGCUUUCGGGUUGUAAACCUCUUUCGCUAUCGAACAAGGCCCGCUUAGGGUGGGUUGAGGGUAGGUGGAGAAGAAGCGCCGGCUAACUACGUGCCAGCAGCCGCGGUAAUACGUAGGGCGCGAGCGUUGUCCGGAAUUAUUGGGCGUAAAGGGCUUGUAGGCGGCUUGUUGCGCCUGCUGUGAAAACGCGGGGCUUAACUUCGCGCGUGCAGUGGGUACGGGCAGGCUUGAGUGUGGUAGGGGUGACUGGAAUUCCAGGUGUAGCGGUAGAAUGCGCAGAGAUCUGGAGGAACACCGAUGGCGAAGGCAGGUCACUGGGCCAUUACUGACGCUGAGGAGCGAAAGCAUGGGUAGCGAACAGG
Molecule: ribosomal RNA, 420 nt
Filed under: bacterium
Lineage: Bacteria
Description: partial 16S ribosomal RNA
Rfam family: Bacterial small subunit ribosomal RNA
Source: RNAcentral